UAAAUGCACUCCCACUUGAAGCAGCAAGUC
This 30-nucleotide non-coding RNA is filed under the name Rattus norvegicus (Norway rat). Lineage: Eukaryota; Metazoa; Chordata; Mammalia; Rodentia; Muridae. The record is from RNAcentral.